AGUCGAGCGGUAGCACAGAGAGCUUGCUCUCGGGUGACGAGGGGCGGACGGGUGAGUAAUGUCUGGGAAACUGCCUGAUGGAGGGGGAUAACUACUGGAAACGGUAGCUAAUACCGCAUAACGUCGCAAGACCAAAGUGGGGGACCUUCGGGCCUCAUGCCAUCAGAUGUGCCCAGAUGGGAUUAGCUUGUAGGUGGGGUAACGGCUCACCUAGGCGACGAUCCCUAGCUGGUCUGAGAGGAUGACCAGCCACACUGGAACUGAGACACGGUCCAGACUCCUACGGGAGGCAGCAGUGGGGAAUAUUGCACAAUGGGCGCAAGCCUGAUGCGGCCAUGCCGCGUGUAUGAAGAAGGCCUUCGGGUUGUAAAGUACUUUCAGUGAGGAGGAAGGCGAUAAGGUUAAUAACCUUGUCGAUUGACGUUACUCGCAGAAGAAGCACCGGCUAACUCCGUGCCAGCAGCCGCGGUAAUACGGAGGGUGCAAGCGUUAAUCGGAAUUACUGGGCGUAAAGCGCACGCAGGCGGUCUGUCAAGUCGGAUGUGAAAUCCCCGGGCUCAACCUGGGAACUGCAUCCGAAACUGGCAGGCUAGAGUCUUGUAGAGGGGGGUAGAAUUCCAGGUGUAGCGGUGAAAUGCGUAGAGAUCUGGAGGAAUACC
This 659-nucleotide ribosomal RNA is filed under the name uncultured bacterium. RNAcentral describes it as "bacterial SSU rRNA". It matches the Rfam family "Bacterial small subunit ribosomal RNA", at positions 60 to 710 of the family's 1533-position model. The record is from RNAcentral.